ACAGUUUAUCACACUAUUUGAUGC
This 24-nucleotide non-coding RNA is filed under the name Arabidopsis thaliana (thale cress). The record is from RNAcentral. Lineage: Eukaryota; Viridiplantae; Streptophyta; Magnoliopsida; Brassicales; Brassicaceae.